AUGAAGUUGAACCCAGUAGGUUUUCGAAUUGAUUACUUUUAAAAAAUACAUAAAAUUAAAAGGUCACAGACUACCAAUUUCGUGAAAAGAAAUAUACAAAACUAUCGACAACUUAUGAUAUUUGCUGAAGUACACAAAAGUGUACUUCAACUUCUGCUUAGAUACCAAAAUACUCCUUAUUCAUAAAAAUGUAUACAAAUAUGUGAAAUCAAUAAUAAUCAUGUAGUCAUGAUUGAACAUUUCUUCUCAACAUUUGAAGAUUUUCUUUUCAAAAAUUAUUUAAAUGUUAUUUCAAAGUGUACAUAAUAAUCAUACUAUAUAUGCCUCGUUUCAUUGGCCCAUUUUGUAAGAUAUGUUAUUAACAGUACAAGAAACAUCGCGUAUUAUUAAGCAUGGGUUAGGGUCAAAUAUCUUUUUUGUGAUAUUUUCUAAAUAUUUUUUAAUCAAACAUGUGUUAUACUGACUAUAAUUUAUACCAAGAUUAAUAAAUGUCAUAUUAAUGAAAUAGCUACAAAAUAUUGCUAAACUAAUGUAUAAUACUAAAAAUUACUUUUCUUUGUUAAAAAGAAGCAAAGGAAAGAAGAUGAAUGUAUAAGUGAUGAGAAAAUUCUAUGUAUGUACAUGCUAAUAUAAUAAAAAUGAAAGUAAAAUGAAA
Long non-coding RNA from Bombus pascuorum, 655 nucleotides. RefSeq lists it as uncharacterized. The transcript is spliced from 2 exons. The record is from RefSeq and is a predicted model, not a curated record. Lineage: Eukaryota; Metazoa; Arthropoda; Insecta; Hymenoptera; Apidae.